This 372-nucleotide ribosomal RNA is filed under the name uncultured bacterium. RNAcentral's name for it is "bacterial SSU rRNA". It matches the Rfam family "Bacterial small subunit ribosomal RNA", at positions 118 to 525 of the family's 1533-position model. The record is from RNAcentral.
UGGGAACGUGCCCUUCAGUUCGGGAUAACCCAGGGAAACUUGGGCUAAUACCGGAUACGUGCGAGAGCAGAAAGAUUUAUCGCUGAAGGAUCGGCCCGCGUCUGAUUAGCUAGUUGGUGAGGUAAUGGCUCACCAAGGCGACGAUCAGUAGCUGGUCUGAGAGGAUGAUCAGCCACACUGGGACUGAGACACGGCCCAGACUCCUGCGGGAGGCAGCAGUGGGGAAUAUUGGACAAUGGGCGCAAGCCUGAUCCAGCCAUGCCGCGUGAGUGAUGAAGGCCUUAGGGUUGUAAAGCUCUUUCGGCGGGGACGAUAAUGACGGUACCCGCAGAAGAAGCCCCGGCUAACUUCGUGCUAGCCGCCGCGGUAAUC